GACGAACGCUGGCGGCGUGCCUAAUACAUGCAAGUCGAACGCUUCUUUCCUCCCGAGUGCUUGCACUCAAUUGGAAAGAGGAGUGGCGGACGGGUGGGUAACACGUGGGUAACCUACCCAUCAGAGGGGGAUAACACUUGGAAACAGGUGCUAAUACCGCAUAACAGUUUAUGCCGCAUGGCAUAAGAGUGAAAGGCGCUUUCGGGUGUCGCUGAUGGACGGACCCGCGGUGCAUUAGCUAGUUGGUGAGGUAACGGCUCACCAAGGCCACGAUGCAUAGCCGACCUGAGAGGGGGAUCGGCCACACUGGGACUGAGACACGGCCCAGACUCCUACGGGAGGCAGCAGUAGGGAAUCUUCGGCAAUGGACGAAAGUCUGACCGAGCAACGCCGCGUGAGUGAAGAAGGUUUUCGGAUCGUAAAACGCUGUUGUUAGAGAAGAACAAGGACGUUAGUAACUGAACGUCCCCUGACGGGAUCUAACCAGAAAGCCACGGCUAACUACGU
This 507-nucleotide ribosomal RNA is filed under the name uncultured bacterium. RNAcentral describes it as "partial 16S ribosomal RNA". It matches the Rfam family "Bacterial small subunit ribosomal RNA", at positions 28 to 506 of the family's 1533-position model. The record is from RNAcentral.